RNAcentral lists this long non-coding RNA (456 nucleotides) under Volvox carteri. Its description in RNAcentral is "long non-coding RNA (VCAR_LNC001067)". The record is from RNAcentral. Lineage: Eukaryota; Viridiplantae; Chlorophyta; Chlorophyceae; Chlamydomonadales; Volvocaceae.
AAUAAUGGAUAAUUACUGCAUAUUUAUGCAAAGGCAGCAACAGCCGUAGCAAAGCAUAUUUGCGCCGAUUGUUGCCGAGCGAUAUGCAACCUUGACGACCUGUUGAGAACGUUGCUAACACAUAUAUACAUGCUCAUGCCCACGCUUAGCAGCAAACAACUUAGUUCUAGCGAACGCGUUGCUGACCAAGGCUGUGACUUUCCCACGCCUCGGUAACUUCCAUCCAUCCCGGCCCACCGCAUGGCGCGCAAGCAACGCGAAACAUCCGGCGUGCCCCGCCACCCCGACCACCGCCCGGGCCGGCGCGCACUCUGCACUCCAUACAUAUGCGUGUAUCUCGUCCAGGACGCGGAGGCACGUACGUUCGUACGUACGAGGUGUUGCCUGGAAAGGCUAUCCCCUGGGGACGCAACAGCCCAUAACGAAUUUGAAGGAAGACCGUCUUCUUCUGUAGGC